This 918-nucleotide ribosomal RNA is filed under the name Russula laevis. Its description in RNAcentral is "Russula sp. MC-2019l partial large subunit ribosomal RNA". It matches the Rfam family "Eukaryotic large subunit ribosomal RNA", at positions 74 to 961 of the family's 3401-position model. The record is from RNAcentral. Lineage: Eukaryota; Fungi; Basidiomycota; Agaricomycetes; Russulales; Russulaceae.
AUUCCCCUAGUAACUGCGAGUGAAGCGGGAAAAGCUCAAAUUUAAAAUCUGGUGGUCUUUUGGCCGUCCGAGUUGUAAUUUAGAGAAGCGUCUUCCGCGCUGGACCGUACACAAGUCUCCUGGAACGGAGCGUCAUAGAGGGUGAGAAUCCCGUCUUUGGUACGGACCCCCAGGGCUUCUGUGAUGCGCUCUCGAAGAGUCGAGUUGUUUGGGAAUGCAGCUCAAAAUGGGUGGUGAACUCCAUCUAAAGCUAAAUAUUGGCGAGAGACCGAUAGCGAACAAGUACCGUGAGGGAAAGAUGAAAAGCACUUUGGAAAGAGAGUGAAACAGUACGUGAAAUUGUUGAAAGGGAAACGCUUGAAGUCAGUCGCGUCCGCCGAGACUCAGCCUCGCUCCGGCUUGGCGUAUUUCUCGGUCGACGGGUCAGCAUCAAUUUCGUCCCUCGGAUAAUGGCGAGGGAAAGGUGGCACCUUUGCGGGUGUGUUAUAGUCUUUCGUCGCAUGCGAGGGGUGAGAUUGAGGAACUCAGCACGCGCGCCCUCUGGGGGUGUGUCGUGGCCUCGACCCACGCCACGUGCUUUGGAUGCUGGCGUAAUGGCUUUAAACGACCCGUCUUGAAACACGGACCAAGGAGUCUAACAUGCCCGCGAGUGUUCGGGUGGAAAACCCGUGCGCGUAAUGAAAGUGAAAGUUGGGACCUUCGUCGUGAAGGGCACCGACGCCCGGACCAGACCUUCUGUGACGGAUCUGCGGUGGAGCGUGCAUGUUGGGACCCGAAAGAUGGUGAACUAUGCCUGAAUAGGGUGAAGCCAGACGAAACUCUGGUGGAGGCUCGUAGCGAUUCUGACGUGCAAAUCGAUCGUCAAAUUUGGGUAUAGGGGCGAAAGACUAAUCGAACCAUCUAGUAGCUGGUCCUGCC